GUAAAGCGCACGCAGGCGGUCUGUCAAGUCGGAUGUGAAAUCCCCGGCUCAAGCUGGGAACUGCAUUCGAAACUGGCAGGCUAGAGUCUUGUAGAGGGGGGUAGAAUUCCAGGUGUAGCGGUGAAAUGCGUAGAGAUCUGGAGGAAUACCGGUGGCGAAGGCGGCCCCCUGGGACAAAGACUGACGCUCAGGUGCGAAAGCGUGGGGAGCAAACAGGAUUAGAUACCCUGGGUAGUCCACGCCCGUAAACGAUGUCGAUUUGGAGGUUGUGCCCUUGAGGCGUGGCUUCCGGAGCUAACGCGUUAAAUCGACCGCCUGGGGAGUACGGCCGCAAGGUUAGAACUCAAAUGAAUUGACGGGGGCCCGCACAAGCGGUGGAGCAUGUGGUUUAAUUCGAUGCAACGCGAAGAACCUUACCUGGUCUUGACAUCCACAGAACUUUCCAGAGAUGGAUUGGUGCCUUCGGGAACUGUGAGACAGGUGCUGCAUGGCUGUCGUCAGCUCGUGUUGUGAAAUGUUGGGUUAAGUCCCGCAACGAGCGCAACCCUUAUCCUUUGUUGCCAGCGGUCCGGCCGGGAACUCAAAGGAGACUGCCAGUGAUAAACUGGAGGAAGGUGGGGAUGACGUUAAGUCAUCAUGGCCCUUACGACCAGGGCUACACACGUGCUACAAUGGCAUAUACAAAGAGAAGCGACCUCGCGAGAGCAAGCGGACCUCAUAAAGUAUGUCGUAGUCCGGAUUGGAGUCUGCAACUCGACUCCAUGAAGUCGGAAUCGCUAGUAAUCGUAGAUCAGAAUGCUACGGUGAAUACGUUCCCGGGCCUUGUACACACCGCCCGUCACACCAUGGGAGUGGGUUGCAAAAGAAGUAGG
This 872-nucleotide ribosomal RNA is filed under the name uncultured Enterobacteriaceae bacterium. Its description in RNAcentral is "SSU rRNA". It matches the Rfam family "Bacterial small subunit ribosomal RNA", at positions 560 to 1430 of the family's 1533-position model. The record is from RNAcentral. Lineage: Bacteria; Pseudomonadati; Pseudomonadota; Gammaproteobacteria; Enterobacterales; Enterobacteriaceae.